This 77-nucleotide transfer RNA is filed under the name Pseudomonadota bacterium. RNAcentral's name for it is "Proteobacteria bacterium (wastewater metagenome) tRNA-Arg". It matches the Rfam family "tRNA". Rfam says of the family: Transfer RNA (tRNA) molecules are approximately 80 nucleotides in length. Their secondary structure includes four short double-helical elements and three loops (D, anti-codon, and T loops). The record is from RNAcentral. Lineage: Bacteria; Pseudomonadati; Pseudomonadota.
GCGCCCGUAGCUCAAUUGGAUAGAGCACUAGACUACGGAUCUAACGGUUAGGAGUUCGAAUCUCUUCGGGCGCGCCA